RNAcentral lists this unclassified non-coding RNA (387 nucleotides) under soil metagenome. Its description in RNAcentral is "partial contains 5.8S ribosomal RNA, internal transcribed spacer 2, and large subunit ribosomal RNA". The stretch from base 1 to 120 matches the Rfam family "5.8S ribosomal RNA", at positions 35 to 154 of the family's 154-position model. The record is from RNAcentral.
GAUGAAGAACGCAGCGAAAUGCGAUAAGUAAUGUGAAUUGCAGAAUUCAGUGAAUCAUCGAAUCUUUGAACGCACCUUGCACCCUUUGGCAUUCCGAAGGGUAUGCUCGUUUGAGUGUCAUUGUACUCUCACACUCUCCGAACCUAUGGAUUCGGGGAGCGGUGGACUUGGGUGUUGCUGCCUUUCCUUGUGGCUCACCUCAAAUGUGUCAGUGCACCUCUUGGUUGGACAUAGUACGGCGUGAUAAGUGUCUUCGCCGGCACCUCGCAAGAGGGUGGCCGAUCGGGAGCUCUGUGCUUUCAAACCGUCUUCGGACAAUUUCUGACAACUUGACCUCAAAUCGAGUAGGACUACCCGCUGAACUUAAGCAUAUCAAUAAGCGGAGGA